Molecule: transfer RNA, 73 nt
Filed under: bacterium
Lineage: Bacteria
Description: tRNA-His
Rfam family: tRNA
About the family: Transfer RNA (tRNA) molecules are approximately 80 nucleotides in length. Their secondary structure includes four short double-helical elements and three loops (D, anti-codon, and T loops). Further hydrogen bonds mediate the characteristic L-shaped molecular structure. tRNAs have two regions of fundamental functional importance: the anti-codon, which is responsible for specific mRNA codon recognition, and the 3' end, to which the tRNAs corresponding amino acid is attached (by aminoacyl-tRNA synthetases). tRNAs cope with the degeneracy of the genetic code in two manners: having more than one tRNA (with a specific anti-codon) for a particular amino acid; and 'wobble' base-pairing, i.e. permitting non-standard base-pairing at the 3rd anti-codon position.
Source: RNAcentral
GCGGGUAUAGCUCAGGGGUUAGAGCGCGUCACUGUGGCUGACGAGGUCGUGGGUUCGAGACCCAUUAUCCGCC